RNAcentral lists this ribosomal RNA (437 nucleotides) under uncultured bacterium. Its description in RNAcentral is "partial 16S ribosomal RNA". It matches the Rfam family "Bacterial small subunit ribosomal RNA", at positions 29 to 507 of the family's 1533-position model. The record is from RNAcentral.
AGCGAACGCUGGCGGCAGGCUUAACACAUGCAAGUCGAACGGGCACCUUUCGGGGUGUCAGCGGCGGACGGGUGAGUAACGCGUGGGAACGUGCCCUCUGGUUCGGAAUAACUCAGGGAAACUUGAGCUAAUACCGGAUACGCCCUUUUGGGGAAAGGCUUGCUGCCGGAGGAUCGGCCCGCGUCUGAUUAGCUAGUUGGUGAGGUAACGGCUCACCAAGGCGACGAUCAGUAGCUGGUCUGAGAGGAUGAUCAGCCACACUGGGACUGAGACACGGCCCAGACUCCUACGGGAGGCAGCAGUGGGGAAUAUUGGACAAUGGGCGCAAGCCUGAUCCAGCCAUGCCGCGUGAGUGAUGAAGGCCUUAGGGUUGUAAAGCUCUUUUAUCCGGGACGAUAAUGACGGUACCGGAGGAAUAAGCCCCGGCUAACUUCGUG